UCUUAUUUAAACCUUCUAAUUUAACUGGCUCCCUUUGACACUGCUCUGUCAAAGGAAGGGGGCAGUGCCACUUUGUUACUACCAAGUGGAGGCAGAUAUCUAAGUUCCUCUCUCAUCCUGCAUUGCUACUAGAGGGAGAUGCUCCUCACUACUGCUGGGGAGGAGUGAACAUUCCAGCUCCCCACGUGGUCUCCAUGGAGCCUGCAGUGGAGGUGG
Molecule: non-coding RNA, 216 nt
Organism: Ceratotherium simum simum (southern white rhinoceros)
Lineage: Eukaryota; Metazoa; Chordata; Mammalia; Perissodactyla; Rhinocerotidae
Source: RefSeq, a predicted model, not a curated record